This is a non-coding RNA of Phoenix dactylifera (date palm), 1006 nucleotides long. The record is from RefSeq and is a predicted model, not a curated record. NCBI's taxonomy places the organism in Eukaryota, Viridiplantae, Streptophyta, Magnoliopsida, Arecales, Arecaceae.
CAUAUUUUAGAUUGGUAUACUAGAUUAAGUGAUUCAUGUGUUGCUGACCGGUUCUGACCAUAUCUUGAUUUGAAAGUACUGGUAGGUUGUGAGCUGGGAGGGAACCCUCUUGAGUCAUAUUCAGAUUUGCGAUGGAGCACGGGCAGGCAUACAAUGUGACGGAUAAUCGCCUUCUCAAAGAGUUGGUUCUUGUAUGUUGGUAAAAAAGGCUCAGCCUUCCACCUCUCCUGCCCCCUAGCUUUCUUCUGCUCUUUUUUGUGUAUGUAUGUAUAUUGAUGAGAAGAUGGGUGACUUGUAAAAUUGCAGUUCUCUUCUUUGCGUGGCAGCUUCUCUAGCAAUAGGCGAGGAACUUCUGGAAGUGAAUUCAUAGGAUUUGGAGGCUGAUGAAAGUUUUGGGAUAAGGAUGCUAUAAAAAAAGGUAAUUUUUGGUCUUGCAUGGAUUCUGUCAUCCUUCAUUAUUCUCUAUUUUCCAUCUUUUCUUCAAGUAAUAGUGUGAAAAAAGACGAAGUGGCUUGCUUAGAGGCCAACUAGUGCUGGCGAUAACUUUAAGUUCCAUUUUUGCGCUUCAUUUAUGUAGGAGUUGCAGAAGCCGAGGUAGAAAUUUCUCUAGAGUUGGUAUUAACUAGGGUAAUCUCUUUGGACUUUCCCAUGAUGAUGUCCUUAGUCUUGGUAACAGUUAUCCAAUCAAUCAAUUAUUUAUUCUGGUCCUUUGUCUACUUUUAUUUUUCCUGAUCUUGCUACUUAUCUCUGUAUAUCUGGUGGUAAUUUGAUUCACUUGUAAACUUUUAUGCUUCAGAGGCCUGGAUCAUACUCUAUUGCUAUGUGGUGGUCUAUCGGUUGCUGCUGCAGGAAUUUCUAUACAAUAGUUUGAAUUUGAUUUUCCACUACAACUGUUCAUGAAAUACUCUUUCCUUAUAAACUUAUUACUAUUGUUUGACUACUAGAAUUAUUCCGAAUUUGUUAUUUAUAAGAUUCACUUCUAUUUAUUUGCCCCUUUUUCUUCAUA